This 93-nucleotide transfer RNA is filed under the name Actinomycetes bacterium. RNAcentral describes it as "Actinobacteria bacterium tRNA-Ser". It matches the Rfam family "tRNA". From Rfam's summary of the family: Transfer RNA (tRNA) molecules are approximately 80 nucleotides in length. Their secondary structure includes four short double-helical elements and three loops (D, anti-codon, and T loops). Further hydrogen bonds mediate the characteristic L-shaped molecular structure. tRNAs have two regions of fundamental functional importance: the anti-codon, which is responsible for specific mRNA codon recognition, and the 3' end, to which the tRNAs corresponding amino acid is attached (by aminoacyl-tRNA synthetases). tRNAs cope with the degeneracy of the genetic code in two manners: having more than one tRNA (with a specific anti-codon) for a particular amino acid; and 'wobble' base-pairing, i.e. permitting non-standard base-pairing at the 3rd anti-codon position. The record is from RNAcentral. RNAcentral also lists the same sequence under 1 other name. Lineage: Bacteria; Bacillati; Actinomycetota; Actinomycetes.
GGAGGCGUGCCGGAGUGGACGAACGGGACCGCCUCGAAAGCGGUUAGGGGCCUAAACCGCCCCUCGCGUGUUCGAAUCACGCCGCCUCCGCCA